Molecule: ribosomal RNA, 263 nt
Filed under: uncultured bacterium
Lineage: Bacteria
Description: partial 16S ribosomal RNA
Rfam family: Bacterial small subunit ribosomal RNA
Source: RNAcentral
UACGGAGGAUGCAAGCGUUAUCCGGAUUUAUUGGGUUUAAAGGGUGUGUAGGCGGGAAAUUAAGUCAGUGAUGAAAUCCUACAGCUUAACUGUAGAACUGUUAUUGAUACUGGUUUUCUUGAAUACAGUUGAGGCAGGCGGAAUGUGUAAUGUAGCGGUGAAAUGCUUAGAUAUUACACAGAACACCGAUUGCGAAGGCAGCUUGCUAAACUGUCAUUGACGCUGAGGCACGAAAGCGUGGGGAUCAAACAGGAUUAGAUACC